This 219-nucleotide long non-coding RNA is filed under the name Elaeis guineensis (African oil palm). Its description in RNAcentral is "long non-coding RNA (EGUI_LNC064326)". Lineage: Eukaryota; Viridiplantae; Streptophyta; Magnoliopsida; Arecales; Arecaceae. The record is from RNAcentral.
UUGUGCGAAUGAUCCUUUGACUUGAGAUAGUACUACUACUCAUAGUGAGGCUACUGAAAUUUGAUUGACACAUAAACAUGGAUCUCAAUAAACCCUUGUAAUGGAUAUUGACGACAGUUGAUCCACUGUAGGUGUAGGAUAUGCAUCAAGAUAGGAUCUAUCGACCUUGAUAGAGAGGAGUAGUGCUAUAAAAUUUGAAAAGCUAAGUUCGAGAGUCUG